AUUUACGUAGGCCUGCUGCUCCUAGAUAUGGGGUGGGCAACGACUCAAAAGGAAAUGAUCAUAAACUAGCUAUUAAGCACUUAUUGGAACACUGGUGUCUUUCAUAGGAGGGAAAUCCUUCUUAAAUAAAACAUGGGACAACACAAACCCAUGAAAGUCUUUCUCAUGGCCACCUAUACUUUCAUCAUUUUAAAACCUUGUCUCCAUGCUGCUUUGUUGCUACCUGCCAACUUUUUUUUACUUUAAAAAAAAAACGUUUAAUCAAAAUCUUUACUUUACGCAUUUGCCAACGUCUUAAGUUUUUUAUUUUUUUCCUCGCUCUUCUUUUUUCAUUCAUAUUUUUCACCAUGGACGCUUUAUCUGGACAUGGUUCUACAGGACCUCCACCAGCCGAAGCUAUUCACACAGCUGUAACACAUAUGGACAAGAGGAACACCUAUGUAAGAAUGCUGUUCAUUGACUACAGUUCAGCAUUCAACGCUACGGUUCCCUUCAUGCUCAACACCAAGCUCAGAGCCCUGGGUCUGGACACAACCCUCUGCAACUGGAUCCUGGACUUCCUGACUGGCUGACCACAGGCUGUGAGGAUUGGCAACAACACCUUCUCCACACUGAUUGACGAACACAGGCACUAUGGUGCCAUUAAAGCAACCUCUCCCUCAAUGUCAGGAAAACAAAGGAGUUGGUUGUCGUAGCAACACACAUGCCCCACCCACUUGAGGAUCUGUCUUUUUCAGCCAUCUAUUUCCUGUGUUUGAGGGGUGCAAAAUUCACUUGUCACUUAAAUCUUGCUGGAUUGAUUGCUUUCAUUUUCUUCCUGCGAUUCUUUCAAACUCUUGCUUGUGCCUGUUGUGUUUUUCUCGUUAUUGUUACGACUGCGAAAAUGUUUGAAAUGACCUGUCAAACACACCCCAGUCAUGGCUGAAAUGGGAAAAAUGGAAAACAAUGUCUUUCCGUUGCAUCUAUAAGAACACGAAAGCUUCUUUGGAGAUUCAACACAUCAUCUUGACACAUACACUACCAUUCAAAAGUUUGGGGUCACUUAGAAAUGCCAUGCUGGCCUUCUAGGCAGAGUUCCUCUGUCCAGUGUCUGUGAUCUUUUGCCCAUCUUAAUCUUUUCUUUUUAUUGGCUAGUCUGAGAUAUGGCUUUUUCUUUGCAACUCUGCCUAGAAGGCCAGCGUCCCGGAGUCACCUCUUCACUGUUGAUGUUGAGACUGGUGUUUUGUGGGUAUUAUUUAAUGAAGCUUCCAGUUGAGGACUUGUGAGGCGUCUAUUUCUCAAACUAGACACUGUAAUGUACUUGUCCUCUUGCUCAGUUGUGCACUGGGGCUUCCCACUACUCUUUCUAUUCUGGUUAGAGCCAGUUUGCGCUGUUCUGUGAAGGGAGUAGUACAAGGCGUUGUACCAGAUCUUCAAUUUCUUUGCAAUUUCUCGCACGGAAUAUAGCCGUAAAUUGUUUCUGGCCAUUUUUAGCCUGUAAUCGAACCCACAAAUGCUGAUGCUCCAGACACUCAAUUAGUCUAAAGAAGGCCAGGUUUAUUGUUUCUUUAAUCAGAACAACAGUUUUCAGCUGUGCUAACAUAAUUGCAAAAGGGUUUUCUAAUGAUCAAUUAGCCUUUUAAAAUGAUAAACUUGGAUUAGCUGUCACGACUUCCGCCGAAGUCGGCUCCUCUCCUUGUUCGGGCGGCGUUCGGCGAUCGACGUCACCGGCUUUCUAGCCAUCGUCGCUCCAUUUUUCAUAUGUCCAUUUGUUACGUCUUGUUCCAUACACACCUGGUUUUCAUUCCCCAAUCAAUCUACAUGUAUUUAGUCCUCUGUUCCCCAUCAUGUCUUUGUGUGUAAUUGUUCAUUGUUAAUGGUGUAUGUUCACGGGCGAUACUUUUAUAGUUUAUGUUCCGUGUUUUUGGGCACUUAUGUCAUUUUUUGUGCCUAUUGUUGAAUGGAAUACAAUUGUGCCUGUUUACUCUACUCUGCUCUCCUGCACCUGACUUCGCCUCCCUUACACAGCCUUAACAUUAGCUAACACAACGUGACAUUGGAACACAGGAGUGAUGGUUGCUGAUAAUGGGCGUCUGUAUGCCUAUGUAGAUAUUCCAUAAAAUAUCUGCCGUUUCCAGCUACAAUAGUCAUUUACAACGUUAACAAUGUCUACACUGUAUUUCUGAUCAAUUUUAUUUUAUUGGAGAAAAAAAAUGUGCUUUUCUUUAAAAAACAUUGACAUUUCUAAUUGAACCCAAGCUUUUGAACGGUAGUGUAGUGUACAUCACAAGAAAGAGAAGAAAGAUAUCUUAAUUUUAAUGUGUGUUCAUUUUCGGUGGAAAAGUAAUAAUGUGGUACAGUUUAAAUGUUUACAAAUUAGAUGCACC
This 2366-nucleotide long non-coding RNA is filed under the name Salmo salar (Atlantic salmon). RNAcentral describes it as "lncRNA (ENSSSAG00000086886.1)". Lineage: Eukaryota; Metazoa; Chordata; Actinopteri; Salmoniformes; Salmonidae. The record is from RNAcentral.